GGAAAGCCAAGCCUUAAGCUUGGGUAAUAUUUGCCUAUUAGAUGGAUCUUGGACAGCUUCUGAUCGCUUUAGUGGAUGUGGAUGGGUCUGAAUAGAUAGCGGGGAGAACACACAACUUAUGGGAACACGGAAUUUCAUGAGAUGUGAAUCAGCAUUGCAUUCGGAGGUAGAAGCACUGCGAUGGGCGAUGGAGAAUAUGCUUCAACACUCGCCAUGCCAGAGCUUUGGAACAGAUUGCAAGGAGCUGAUAGCAAUGAUAAAGGAACCCCAAGAGUGGCCAAGUUUCGCGACAGAACGCAAGGAGCUGAUAGAAAUGAUAAAUGAACCCCAAGAGUGGCCAAGUUUCGCGACAGAAUUGGAGAAGAUAGAGACGCUGCAGAUUUGCUUCCCGGACUUCAAAAUCACCCAUGUACCACGAGUGCGCAACCAGUUUUCUGAUUUUUU
This 444-nucleotide long non-coding RNA is filed under the name Brassica napus (rape). RNAcentral describes it as "long non-coding RNA (BNAP_LNC020400)". The record is from RNAcentral. Lineage: Eukaryota; Viridiplantae; Streptophyta; Magnoliopsida; Brassicales; Brassicaceae.